UGAGAUUGGUGUACCACGAGUAUCGUGAGUCCACCAAAUUUUAGGAAGAGAUCCAUCAGCCUCUCAACCAAUCGUGCAGAUGAUCCGGAGCAUCCAAGGAGUCGGCACACAUCGAUCGAAUGAGUUCGAUCAACAUCAGCCAUCAAAAGGAUGAAAUCACGAACUAGUAUUUGUGAGGAGCCGAUCAGAUGGGAGUUUUGUGUGGAUGAUCCACAUAGAUCAGGCACUAGUGUGGCUGCGAUGUGACGAUCAGAGCCCUCCGACGGUGAUCAGAUUGCGGUGAUCGAC
This 288-nucleotide long non-coding RNA is filed under the name Elaeis guineensis (African oil palm). Its description in RNAcentral is "long non-coding RNA (EGUI_LNC014155)". The record is from RNAcentral. Lineage: Eukaryota; Viridiplantae; Streptophyta; Magnoliopsida; Arecales; Arecaceae.